CGCUAGGGGCACCGCCGGGUAGCUAAGUCGGGAAAGGAUAACCGCUGAAAGCAUCUAAGCGGGAAGCCCACUCCAAGAUUAGAAUUCCAUGGACUUAGGUCUGAGAGAGCCCAGAUAGACUAUCUGGUUGAUAGGCCGGGUGUGUAAGCAGCGAAAUCUGUUCAGCUAACCGGUACUAACGCUCGAUAACUUGACCAU
This 198-nucleotide ribosomal RNA is filed under the name Planctomycetota bacterium. RNAcentral describes it as "partial 23S ribosomal RNA". It matches the Rfam family "Bacterial large subunit ribosomal RNA", at positions 2727 to 2925 of the family's 2925-position model. The record is from RNAcentral. Lineage: Bacteria; Pseudomonadati; Planctomycetota.